AACCUAGCACACCUGCGGUGUGUACCUGCGGAAGGAUCAUUACAGAGUUCGUGCCCUCGCGGGUAGAUCUCCCACCCUUGUGUAUUCUCUACAUCUUGUUGCUUUGGCAGGCCGUUGGUUCGCCAACCACCGGCUCGCGGGCUGGUGCGUGCCUGCCAGAGGACCUCUCAAACUCGGUUUGUCAGUGUCGUCUGAGUACCAUAACAAUCGUUAAAACUUUCAACAACGGAUCUCAGAUCG
This 240-nucleotide unclassified non-coding RNA is filed under the name soil metagenome. RNAcentral's name for it is "partial contains 5.8S ribosomal RNA, internal transcribed spacer 2, and large subunit ribosomal RNA". The record is from RNAcentral.